AACCUGCCCAAUAGAUCGGGAUAACACCUGGAAACAGAUGCUAAUACCGGAUAACAACAGAUGAUGCCUAUCAACUGUUUAAAAGAUGGUUCUGCUAUCACUCUUGGAUGGACCUGCGGUGCAUUAGCUAGUUGGUAGGGUAACGGCCUACCAAGGCGAUGAUGCAUAGCCGAGUUGAGAGACUGAUCGGCCACAUUGGGACUGAGACACGGCCCAAACUCCUACGGGAGGCAGCAGGC
Molecule: ribosomal RNA, 239 nt
Filed under: uncultured Lactobacillus sp.
Lineage: Bacteria; Bacillati; Bacillota; Bacilli; Lactobacillales; Lactobacillaceae
Description: partial 16S ribosomal RNA
Rfam family: Bacterial small subunit ribosomal RNA
Source: RNAcentral